GACGAACGCUGGCGGCGUGCCUAACACAUGCAAGUCGAACGAGGUCCAUGCAGUGGCAACACUGCGGAAGACCUAGUGGCGAACGGGUGAGUAACACGUGAGGAACCUGCCCCGAAGACCGGGAUAACCCUCCGAAAGGAGAGCUAAUACCGGAUACCCCCACCUGGUCGCAUGGCCGGGUGAGGAAAUGGAUUCCGCUUCGGGAGGGCCUCGCGGCCUAUCAGCUAGUUGGUGAGGUAACGGCUCACCAAGGCAUCGACGGGUAGCUGGUCUGAGAGGACGAUCAGCCACACUGGGACUGAGACACGGCCCAGACUCCUACGGGAGGCAGCAGUGGGGAAUCUUGCGCAAUGGGCGAAAGCCUGACGCAGCAACGCCGCGUGGGGGAUGAAGGCUCUCGGGUUGGUAAACCCCUUUCAGCAGGGACGAAAUUGACGGUACCUGCAGAAGAAGCCCCGGCUAACUACGUG
This 470-nucleotide ribosomal RNA is filed under the name uncultured bacterium. Its description in RNAcentral is "bacterial SSU rRNA". It matches the Rfam family "Bacterial small subunit ribosomal RNA", at positions 28 to 507 of the family's 1533-position model. The record is from RNAcentral.